UGGGGAAUUUUGGACAAUGGGGGAAACCCUGAUCCAGCCAUCCCGCGUGUGCGAUGAAGGCCUUCGGGUUGUAAAGCACUUUUGGCAGGAAAGAAACGUCAUGGGUUAAUACCCCGUGAAACUGACGGUACCUGCAGAAUAAGCACCGGCUAACUACGUGCCAGCAGCCGCGGUAAUACGUAGGGUGCAAGCGUUAAUCGGAAUUACUGGGCGUAAAGCGUGCGCAGGCGGUUCGGAAAGAAAGAUGUGAAAUCCCAGAGCUCAACUUUGGAACUGCAUUUUUAACUACCGGGCUAGAGUGUGUCAGAGGGAGGUGGAAUUCCGCGUGUAGCAGUGAAGUGCGUAGAUAUGCGGAGGAACACCGAUGGCGAAGGCAGCCUCCUGGGAUAACACUGACGCUCAUGCACGAAAGCGUGGGGAGCAAACAGG
Molecule: ribosomal RNA, 429 nt
Filed under: Acidobacteriota bacterium
Lineage: Bacteria; Pseudomonadati; Acidobacteriota
Description: Acidobacteria bacterium partial 16S ribosomal RNA
Rfam family: Bacterial small subunit ribosomal RNA
Source: RNAcentral